This 243-nucleotide unclassified non-coding RNA is filed under the name uncultured Venturiaceae. Its description in RNAcentral is "sequence contains ITS2". Lineage: Eukaryota; Fungi; Ascomycota; Dothideomycetes; Venturiales; Venturiaceae. The record is from RNAcentral.
AACGCACAUUGCGCCCCCUGGUAUUCCGGGGGGCACACCUGUUCGAGCGCCAUUUCAACCCUCAAGCCUUGCUUGGUGAUGGGCCCCGCCCGCGCGGCGGGCCCGAAACUCGUGGGCGCCCCAGGCCGGACUCCAAGCGUAGCAAAACCCUCGCUUGCGGACGACCGGUCGGAGGCCGCCCCGGACCCCCAAUAUUUAUCAAUGGUUGGCCUCGGAUCAGGUGGGGAUACCCGCUGAACUUAA